Molecule: ribosomal RNA, 492 nt
Filed under: uncultured bacterium
Lineage: Bacteria
Description: partial 16S ribosomal RNA
Rfam family: Bacterial small subunit ribosomal RNA
Source: RNAcentral
AGUGAACGCUGGCGGUAGGCCUAACACAUGCAAGUCGAACGGCAGCACAGUAAGAGCUUGCUCUUACGGGUGGCGAGUGGCGGACGGGUGAGGAAUACAUCGGACUCUACUUUUUCGUGGGGGAUAACGUAGGGAAACUUACGCUAAUACCGCAUACGCCCUACGGGUGAAAGCAGGGGAUCUUCGGACCUUGCGCGAUUGAAUGAGCCGCUGUCGGAUUAGCUAGUUGGCGGGGUAAAGGCCCACCAAGGCGACGAUCCGUAGCUGGUCUGAGAGGAUGAUCAGCCACACUGGAACUGAGACACGGUCCAGACGCCUAAGGGAGGCAGCAGUGGGGAAUAUUGGACAAUGGGCGCAAGCCUGAUCCAGCCAUACCGCGUGGGUGAAGAAGGCCUUCGGGUUGUAAAGCCCUUUUGUUGGGAAAGAAAAGCAGCAGGUUAAUACCCCGCUGUUCUGACGGUACCCAAAGAAUAAGCACCGGCUAACUUCGUG